RNAcentral lists this ribosomal RNA (202 nucleotides) under Aeromonas salmonicida subsp. salmonicida. RNAcentral's name for it is "partial 16S ribosomal RNA". It matches the Rfam family "Bacterial small subunit ribosomal RNA", at positions 1338 to 1533 of the family's 1533-position model. Lineage: Bacteria; Pseudomonadati; Pseudomonadota; Gammaproteobacteria; Aeromonadales; Aeromonadaceae. The record is from RNAcentral.
GUAAUCGCGAAUCAGAAUGUCGCGGUGAAUACGUUCCCGGGCCUUGUACACACCGCCCGUCACACCAUGGGAGUGGGUUGCACCAGAAGUAGAUAGCUUAACCUUCGGGAGGGCGUUUACCACGGUGUGAUUCAUGACUGGGGUGAAGUCGUAACAAGGUAACCCUAGGGGAACCUGGGGUUGGAUCACCUCCUUACCUUAA